This 1839-nucleotide ribosomal RNA is filed under the name Triticum aestivum (bread wheat). Its description in RNAcentral is "partial small subunit ribosomal RNA". Lineage: Eukaryota; Viridiplantae; Streptophyta; Magnoliopsida; Poales; Poaceae. The record is from RNAcentral.
AUGCUUUCUUCUAUCCACCGUCCAUAUUCCUAUAUUGUACCCUGUGGAAGGUUUCCAAAGAGAGUUGAAUUAUGGACUGCAGAUGGUAAGUUUAUUAGGGAACUUUGUGACUUGCCCCUUGCAGAGGACAUACCAAUUGCGACGAGCAGCGUGCGCAAGGGAAAACGUUCAAUCUAUUGGAGGCCAGACAAACCUUCAACUUUGUAUUGGGUGGAGACACAAGAUGGUGGAGAUGCAAAGGUUGAAGUUUCACCACGUGACAUAGUUUACAUGGAAAAUGCUGAGCCCAUAAAUGGCGAACAACCAGAAAUCCUACAUAAACUUGACCUCCGAUAUGGAGGAAUCUCUUGGUGUGAUGAAUCUCUUGCUUUGGUGUAUGAAUCAUGGUACAAAACUCGGAAAACAAGAACAUGGGUGGUUGCUCCAGACAAGAAAGAUGUCAGUCCGCGCAUUUUAUUUGACAGAUCUUCAGAAGAUGUGUACUCUGAUCCUGGCUCACCAAUGCUGCGAAGAACUGCCAUGGGAACAUAUGUUAUUGCAAAGGUUAAUAAACAAGAUGAAAGUACUUACCUCUUGCUGAAUGGAAUGGGUGCCACACCAGAAGGAAACGUUCCAUUCCUUGACUUGUUUGAUAUAAAUACUGGAAGUAAAGAGCGAAUAUGGGAAAGUGACAAGGAAAAAUACUUUGAAACUGUUGUUGCCUUGAUGUCAGACAAAAUUGAUGGGGACCUUCCCCUUGAUCAGUUAAAGAUACUUACAUCAAAAGAAUCAAAAACAGAAAAUACACAAUAUUACCUACAAAUUUGGCCAGAAAAGAAGCAAGUACAGAUUACAAAUUUUCCCCACCCAUACCCCCAGCUUGCUUCAUUGUAUAAGGAAAUGAUAAGGUACCAGCGCAAAGAUGGGGUUCAACUUACAGCAAAGUUGUAUCUACCUCCAGGUUAUGAUCAAUCAAAAGAUGGACCUUUGCCAUGUUUAGUUUGGUCAUACCCUGGUGAGUUUAAAAGCAAAGAUGCUGCAGGACAAGUACGUGGUUCCCCUAAUGAGUUUUCAGGGAUUGGUGCUACAUCUCCUCUUCUUUGGUUGGCUAGAGGGUUUGCUAUUCUUUCAGGUCCGACAAUCCCGAUUGUUGGUGAAGGUGAUGUAGAGGCAAACGACAGUUAUGUGGAACAACUAGUAACUAGUGCAGAGGCUGCCGUCGAGGAAGUUGUCAGGAGAGGGGUGGUCCAUCCUGAUAAAAUAGCUGUUGGCGGUCAUUCAUAUGGUGCAUUCAUGACAGCAAAUCUCUUAGCUCAUGCUCCUCAUCUUUUCUGCUGUGGAAUUGCUCGUUCUGGAGCUUACAACAGGACGUUAACUCCAUUUGGGUUUCAGAAUGAGGACAGAACACUUUGGGAGGCAACUAACACCUAUGUGGAGAUGAGCCCUUUCAUGUCGGCUAACAAAAUCAAGAGACCAAUAUUACUUAUUCAUGGGGAGCAAGACAACAAUUCUGGAACACUGACAAUGCAGUCGGACCGAUUCUUCAAUGCGUUGAAGGGUCACGGUGUACAGUCUCGUUUGGUAAUACUUCCUUUUGAAAGCCAUGGGUACUCUGCCAGGGAGAGCAUUAUGCACGUGCUUUGGGAGUCUGACAGGUGGCUGCAGAAGUACUGUGUAAACGGCACUAGCAAGGCUGAUUCAGAGACAGCAGCUGAUGGAGAAAGUAAAACAUUGGCAGCCAGUGGUGGUGGAGCAGCAUCUGAAGAUCAACUACUGUUAAAAUGUACGGGAAAUAAAAUCAUCUCUGGACAGCAUGCACAGGCCAAAAGGAAAAUAAAAUGUGCUGCCGAACUUGUAUGA